UUUCUCUCAGGGUCAUACCUGGAGAGUUUCCAGUACUCUAUUAGUCUCGACUGUGGGAGGAAGAGUCAAGCAGAGGUGUGCCCAUUCCAUUCCUAGCUUGGGCAGUGGCUAGAGCGUGGGAGACAAUCUGCUACAAGU
This is a small nucleolar RNA of Tachyglossus aculeatus (Australian echidna), 138 nucleotides long. NCBI's taxonomy places the organism in Eukaryota, Metazoa, Chordata, Mammalia, Monotremata, Tachyglossidae. The record is from RefSeq and is a predicted model, not a curated record.